Molecule: long non-coding RNA, 299 nt
Filed under: Mytilus galloprovincialis (Mediterranean mussel)
Lineage: Eukaryota; Metazoa; Mollusca; Bivalvia; Mytilida; Mytilidae
Source: RNAcentral
CCUUUAUGUUUUGAUUUAUAUAAUUGAUAUAAAUCAAAACAUCGUGUUAUUUCUGAUUCAUUUUUCGAAUUACUUUAUUAAGGUGUUGAGAACCUUUGGUGACCCCACAGUUUAAGUGUCUUUAAAAAGUACAUAGUGAACAGUGGUCGUUACAUACAAACGUUCACCUAAAUUGUCCCAGUCAAUGGAUGAAUUUAAUGUGUCAAUCAAUGGCCACAGCCACACUGUUUUGAAUUUCAUUCUAUCUGUCAAGAUAAACCGAAUAAUAUCAUGUAACUACAUGUAUGUAUAAUCAUGAC